Long non-coding RNA from Esox lucius (northern pike), 1670 nucleotides. The record is from Ensembl. Lineage: Eukaryota; Metazoa; Chordata; Actinopteri; Esociformes; Esocidae.
UUUGGAUUUUUUGAAACACUUUUCACUUUGUUGACGGAAAUUGAAUGAAAUAUAGAUAUUAUAUAAUACAAAAAGAUAUAUACAUGUAUACAUAUAAAUGUCUAUAUGUACAUAUUAGAAAAGAACACUGUUUGUCACAUUUGAUUUGUGUGCAACACGUUCAGUGGGUGUCUAAGACUGGUUGAUUUCCAGCACACCACGGAUAUCUGUGUUGGGGAAAUAGCUCAUGCAAUGUCACUGGAACUGCUGCCGUGGAUUGUAGCCCGGUUUUUAACACGACUAGAAGACGUUUAUGCUACCAGCACAUUUCUCACUGUCUUCUGCAAAGUUGUCAUGCUUUUUUACUUGCACUAAACAUAGGUACAAAUAAACAAACACACAUACUAGGAGGAGACACACAGGCAGAGAGACAGACAGUCACACGCGCACACACACACACACACAUACAUACACAACUAUUCACUCCAAUCUAACCAAUCAAUAAUUUGCUCCAGUAAGAUGAAGUCAUCUGCCUCUUCUAGUAAAGAUGGUGUCAAUCUUUCUCAGGAUAGAUAUAUCAGAGGCUUAAGAGCUAACAUGGGGAAGGAGGAUACAAUUCACUGGGCCCAUAUGGCUUGGCAGGGCCCAACAAUGUCAAUAACAUACAGUUGGUCUGUACGUGAGGGGGCCCUGGCAUGUAUCUUUUCAGGGGGCCCAGGAUUCCUAGCAACUGCCCUGGUCCUUGCACCAACUCCUAUAUAGACUACACAAGGCUCUUGUAGGCCCAUCCACCCACCACACAUACAUCUACGUGGACUGGUAACAUUAGGCCAAACUAACCACACACACAGAAACAACCACACUGCCACACCAGUGCUGUUGCAGUUCAACACUUCAGUGUCCGACCCUUUGUGCUUCUACCAUCUGUCGUCUUUAAUUUGAAAGGUUAGAUCUGGUGUCGUGACUCCACUCAUUGGCAUGUGCCUUUUUUCUGUGAUUUUCCUCAUGAGAUGGCGAUGCCACUCUUAAACGUUCAGAAACUGCGGAAGGGCGGAGCGGAUGGGGAACUGGGUGGUUGGCGGUGGGGUUGUCGAGUUGAAUUGUGUGGAGCAUAAGUAUGUCAUGGACUACCACAGGUUAUGGCCUGCGCGUACAAUGCGAUGCCAGGAGUCAGAAAUAAUACUGCCGAUCUGAUCAUCCUAAGAACAUUUGACGGAACAAACAAACUAUCACCCCACUUCUUGUCAUCAUCUAGAAAGACUUCAACAAUGUGAUGUUACCUAGCAACAAAACAGCUACCACACAAAAACAAACGUUCCGUUUCUUGUGCUUAUGUGUGUCGCCCACUUCUAUGCCAUGGCUUGUGAAAAAGCAGCUUGCCUUCUAUACUUUAUGUUCUUUCCAUCUGAAAUUUAUUUUUGUAUGAAUAUCAAAUUAAUUAAAUAAUAGGACUCAUUUAUUUCUUUUGCAUGGAUUUAUUAUAGGCUUUUUUUUUGCUGAAAAAUAAUUAAAAAGUGCUAUUCAAACUGUUGUUUUAUCAUUUGAACACCGUGAUCUAAAAGAGGAUAUAUACAGUACAGUGAUGGUAGUGACAUUCAACCACUUGAACUCUUAGUAAGAACUUAUGAAAGAUUGUCUUCAUUUGAGCACGAACCUUUUUAUUACCAAUAAAGCAGCCUUCCAGUUACGAA